This 946-nucleotide ribosomal RNA is filed under the name bacterium PGV084. RNAcentral's name for it is "bacterial SSU rRNA". It matches the Rfam family "Bacterial small subunit ribosomal RNA", at positions 66 to 1006 of the family's 1533-position model. The record is from RNAcentral.
ACGGCAGCACGGAGCUUGCUCUGGUGGCGAGUGGCGAACGGGUAAGUAAUAUAUCGGAACGUACCCUAGAGUGGGGGAUAACGUAGCGAAAGUUACGCUAAUACCGCAUACGAUCUAAGGAUGAAAGUGGGGGAUCGCAAGACCUCAUGCUCGUGGAGCGGCCGAUAUCUGAUUAGCUAGUUGGUAGGGUAAAAGCCUACCAAGGCAUCGAUCAGUAGCUGGUCUGAGAGGACGACCAGCCACACUGGAACUGAGACACGGUCCAGACUCCUACGGGAGGCAGCAGUGGGGAAUUUUGGACAAUGGGCGAAAGCCUGAUCCAGCAAUGCCGCGUGAGUGAAGAAGGCCUUCGGGUUGUAAAGCUCUUUUGUCAGGGAAGAAACGGUGAGAGCUAAUAUCUUUUGCUAAUGACGGUACCUGAAGAAUAAGCACCGGCUAACUACGUGCCAGCAGCCGCGGUAAUACGUAGGGUGCAAGCGUUAAUCGGAAUUACUGGGCGUAAAGCGUGCGCAGGCGGUUUUGUAAGUCUGAUGUGAAAUCCCCGGGCUCAACCUGGGAAUUGCAUUGGAGACUGCAAGGCUAGAAUCUGGCAGAGGGGGGUAGAAUUCCACGUGUAGCAGUGAAAUGCGUAGAUAUGUGGAGGAACACCGAUGGCGAAGGCAGCCCCCUGGGUCAAGAUUGACGCUCAUGCACGAAAGCGUGGGGAGCAAACAGGAUUAGAUACCCUGGUAGUCCACGCCCUAAACGAUGUCUACUAGUUGUCGGGUCUUAAUUGACUUGGUAACGCAGCUAACGCGUGAAGUAGACCGCCUGGGGGAGUACGGUCGCAAGAUUAAAACUCAAAGGAAUUGACGGGGACCCGCACAAGCGGUGGAUGAUGGUGGAUUAAUUCGAUGCAACGCGAAAAACCUUACCUACCCUUGACAUGGCUGGAAUCCUUGAGAGA